GAGUUUGAUCCUGGCUCAGAUUGAACGCUGGCGGCAGGCUUAACACAUGCAAGUCGAGCGGUAACAGAUCUAGCUUGCUAGAUGCUGACGAGCGGCGGACGGGUGAGUAACGCGUAGAAAAUUGCCUAGUAGUGGGGGAUAGCCCAGAGAAAUUUGGAUUAAUACCGCAUACGCUCUACGGAGGAAAGGGGGCUUCGGCUCUCGCUAUUAGAUAUGUCUGCGUGGGAUUAGCUAGUUGGUGAGGUAAGGGCUCACCAAGGCGACGAUCCCUAGCUGGUCUGAGAGGAUGAUCAGCCACACUGGGACUGAGACACGGCCCAGACUCCUACGGGAGGCAGCAGUGGGGAAUAUUGCGCAAUGGGGGAAACCCUGACGCAGCCAUGCCGCGUGAGUGACGAAGGCCUUAGGGUUGUAAAGCUCUUUCGCUAGGGAAGAUAAUGACGGUACCUAGUAAAGAAGCCCCGGCUAACUCCGUGCCAGCAGCCGCGGUAAUACGGAGGGGGCUAGCGUUGUUCGGAAUCACUGGGCGUAAAGCGCGCGUAGGCGGAUUGAUUAGUAGGGGGUGAAAUCCGGAGCUCAACUCCGGAACUGCCUUCAAUACUGUCAGUCU
Molecule: ribosomal RNA, 610 nt
Filed under: uncultured bacterium
Lineage: Bacteria
Description: bacterial SSU rRNA
Rfam family: Bacterial small subunit ribosomal RNA
Source: RNAcentral